RNAcentral lists this non-coding RNA (26 nucleotides) under Cricetulus griseus (Chinese hamster). Lineage: Eukaryota; Metazoa; Chordata; Mammalia; Rodentia; Cricetidae. The record is from RNAcentral.
AUGGGCUGGUAGUACCUCUGUUAUGC